CCUACGGGGGGCUGCAGUGGGGAAUAUUGGACAAUGGGGGCAACCCUGAUCCAGCCAUGCCGCGUGUGUGAAGAAGGCCCUCGGGUUGUAAAGCACUUUCAGUGAGGAAGAACGCCUGGUGGUUAAUACCCAUCAGGAAAGACAUCACUCACAGAAGAAGCACCGGCUAACUCCGUGCCAGCAGCCGCGGUAAUACGGAGGGUGCGAGCGUUAAUCGGAAUUACUGGGCGUAAAGCGCGCGUAGGUGGCUUGAUAAGCCGGUUGUGAAAGCCCCGGGCUCAACCUGGGAACGGCAUCCGGAACUGUCAAGCUAGAGUGCAGGAGAGGAAGGUAGAAUUCCCGGUGUAGCGGUGAAAUGCGUAGAGAUCGGGAGGAAUACCAGUGGCGAAAGCGGCCUUCUGGACUGACACUGACACUGAGGUGCGAAAGCGUGGGUAGCAAACAGGAUUAGAUACCCGAGUAGUC
RNAcentral lists this ribosomal RNA (465 nucleotides) under Vreelandella stevensii. RNAcentral's name for it is "partial 16S ribosomal RNA". It matches the Rfam family "Bacterial small subunit ribosomal RNA", at positions 338 to 795 of the family's 1533-position model. The record is from RNAcentral. Lineage: Bacteria; Pseudomonadati; Pseudomonadota; Gammaproteobacteria; Oceanospirillales; Halomonadaceae.